UUUUUUUUUUGGUUUUAUUAAAGAUUACGUUUGAAUAUCACCACAAUUUGAUCCCAUAACUUCAGCUAUACAACUAAAAUUCAGUAGUAAGCUAAGGUAUAAAUUACAAGUCUUUAGAUUGACUUGUACUUAUGCGUAUUCGAUUAAUAAUCAUUAUAAUAAAGUAGUCCAAUCUUAAAUUUUAUUAAUAUAUUGCACCUAAUGAGUUUAAGUUUAUAUUAUAGCAGUUAGGGUUUAUCGGUUAUUAUAACAUAUUAUUUGGUGUAUAAAUCAUUAUAGAACAAGUGAGAUAUUUUAUAAAUACAUCAGACAAACAAGACUAACCAAAUUGGUGAACUUAAAUAUAUCGUGUGUUCUUAAUUUUUUGUUCUUCAUAUAAUAUAUGUGUGCUAUUAUUUGUUUUUAAAUUCUAACAAAGAAAGAAAAUAUUUAUUACAAUGGUGACUGGUAAUAUGAUAAAAGUGAAUAUGACUAAUCAAAUCUCUUGUAAUUUAAUAAUAAAUUAUUGGUAUAUAUUAGAGUAUAGGACUAAUAUAUUUCCAUAGUAGUUGUACCAUCUAGGCAAACGAGAUGGUUUUGGGGUUGGGUAAAAGGUGGGCCUCAAUUUAAGAUUCCUCUAUUUGUUGUGGGUUUGUCGUCCUCCUUUUGGGCCCUUAUUUUGGGCUUUGGAAGUAAUAAUCAAUUCAAGAUUCCUCGUUUCAUAAGCAAAAUAAAUGAUAUUUUUGCAAGAUGCUCACAAGAACAUUAAUUAUUUGUUUAUUAUAUUUAAAUUUUUGGGUGUUUUUCUUUGAAUGCAAUUUUUGGGUGUUAAAUGUGCCUUUAUAUUAAAACCGAAAUUAUUACAUGUCUAUCAACUCAUAUUAUUAAAUCAAAUAAAUAAUUAGUAAAUUACCUUUUCUCACCAAGUGAUGACUGGUGAGUGGAGAUUAUAUGUUUUAUGCUUAUGAUGCUACAUUUUUUAUUAUUUUCUAUUAAGUGCGAUUGAGUAAUAAAUUAUAGAAUUUAAUUCAUAUUAUGAAUCUUAUGAUCCACUAUCCACCAUCAUUUGUAUCUUUUAUCAAACUCUUUUUUUAUUGGUCAACUUAGGGUAGAGGCAUAAAUGAAACAAGUCGAGUCGAAUUGAGUAUUGAGUUAUUUCAAAUUUAUAAAAUUUAAAAUAAAAUUUAAUUGAGGCUCGUUUAACUACCAAGUCGAGUUAAUAUGAUCCGAGUAUUAACAGAAAAUUAUAAUUUGAGAAGGUUCGAGUAAUUUAUCGAACUUUAAAAUUUAUUUAUAUUUAAAUUGUUUAUAUUUUGAGUUGAAUUUGAAUCAAAUUUUUAAUCAAACGAGUAAGAUAAGUUCGAACCAUUCGGUUCAUUUUACGGGCUCCAAAAAUAAAAACAAAUUAUUCUUGAGCCACGUGUCCUCCCAAUUGCAGACCCAAAUUGAUUAUUCCAAAACCCCCUCCAAUUCCAUAUGGGAUGUGGAAAUCCGGUCCAUUUUUUUCUCUCAUCCCAUUGGAAAACCAUCUGUUUGACACGUACCCCUUUUUCUCCCAAACAGAGGGAAAAUCCUAAUCCAACGGCUAAGAUAUCGCCACCAAAACCAAACACUCGUCAUUUCCCAAAUCUGCACGUACAAAUAUCCCCUACACGAGUCACUCCAAUUUCCAGGAGAGAAAAAACAAAAGUAGAGAGAGAAAGUCGGAGAAUUUUAAAACCCAAAUUAACCUUCAAUUUCAAACGAUCUAGAGAGUUUUACACCAACCUGAAGGGUAAUUUUGUAUUUUCACUUUUAACCCGUUAGAUAUUUACCUUUUCUCACCUUUUGAAUUAUUAUCAUUUUUUUGUCGUCUUUUUGUUUAAUUUUGAUGAUUUUUCGGGGUUUUUAUUUUAAAAUUUAUUUAUUUUGUAGGAAUUCAGAUUGUGGAGUUGCUAUGAAGGGUCAAAGCAAUGGUGUAAGGGGAUUGUGUUCACCGGAGAGAGGUGGUGGUGCGCAGGAUAAGAACAGUACAAAAAACCCCACUAGUAAUAAUAAUGGUAGGAAUAAAAAUCCUAACGGUGGUAGUGGUGGUGGUGGUUCUGUGUCGUCUGAAACGGCGCAUGAUAGCAAGAAAGGUGGGUCGUCGUCGGGAGGCGAUGCGAUCCCGACGGUGUGGCCACCCAAGUUUGUGAUUGGGUUGACAAACAAAGAGAAAGAGGAGGAUUUUCUGGCUAUUAAGGGCUCCAAGCUUCCUCACAGACCCAAAAAGAGGGCAAAGUUCAUUCAACGCACACUCAAUGUGAGUUUUCUCUCUCUCAUGUAUUUUGACUUUUUGAAUUUAAUUUUUAAAAUUUAAAAAUUCAGAAAUAAUAUGAAUUUAUUUUGUUUUGUCACUAUUAUAUUUUUUGAGUACGUUAUAUAUAUAUAUAUAUAUAUAUAUAUAUAAUUAGUUAUGUCAUAACUACCAUUUGUCUUGUUCAAUUCCGUGAAAGAUUUUUCUUUUUAAUUUUUUUAGUAUUACUUUUUUGGCAAAAUCAUGUAUUUAAAGUUUUAAACUAAGAGAAUAUUUACUACUAUUUUUAAAUCUUAUUCAUUGAGUAUGUAUAUAUUUUGGACGUAUUUCAUACUUAUAAGAAUUGGUAAAGUUUCAAGUCUUUUUUUAGGUAUAUUCUACUCGAGAAAGGAAUCUAUAAAAUCAUUUAUUUUGAAGGUCAAACCGUUGAAGAAAAGCUUAAUCUUAAAAAUCAAAACCAUGAAUAACUAUGUCUACCAUAAUGACUCAAUUUAUUACGAGAGUAAUGUUAGAACUUUCAAAUUUUUACGAUAUUAAAUAUUUUAAUAAUAAUUUAUAGCAUAUUUGAUUACAUGAAAUCUAUUCAAUUUUAUUUUAUGGUGAUAUAUUUGGAAAGUGGUUAGUAUGAAGUUUAUUUUCGGGUAAGUUGGUCAAUUGACCAAUAGAAUAUUUACGUGCAGACGAAUUUAUGUGUGUCAGUAUUCUAUUGGCCAAUUAACCAACUUACCAACAAAAUAACUUCAUGCUAACCAAAUCCAUAUAUUUGAUAAGGUCUAACAAAAGUGAUAUAUUACAUAAUGUUUACAUACACCCACAUACAAACUGUGGACGCUCACUUGACAUGUGGGGUCCGCAGUAUAAUGAGAAUAUUAUGUGAUCAUUUUUUAUGUGAUAGUAUCAUUAGUUGUUUUUUCUUUUGGCCUAGUAUGUAGUGGUCAGAGCAUCUCCAGCAGAUGGACUAUCUACUGGACUAUAUUUAGUCCAUAUAACAUCAUCAAUUGUCCUUUAGUCUUUAAUCUUUCCAGCAGAUAGAUUAUCCGGUAGACUAUAAUAUAAAAAGAUUAAAAUAAUCAAUGAAUAAAUUAAAGAGUUAUUAUCAAUAAAAAAUAAAAAUCAAAUAUAAUAAAAAUAAAAAUUAUUAUUAAUAAAAUACCUACAAUUGUUAAAUAUUGAAAUAGUUAAUUGAAAAAUAUAAAAUGUAUUGAAUUAUUGUACAUAUUUAUAAAUUUUCCAAUUAAUAUUUCAAUUUAUAUUUGUUGCUAUUUUUUAUUAUUCUUUAUUAUUUUUUAUUACUUCUCCUUCAUCUCCUUAUUCAACAUCCAUUCCUCUCAGACUUCUUCUAUCCGUUCGUCUUCUUCUUCACUUUCACUUCUCAGACUUCAUCUCCUUCUUCUUCCUUUGAGAGCUUCUUCUUCUUCAAACAGAGUUUCUUCUUUCUUUUUUUUCUUCAUCCUCUCUCCCAUUUAAUUAUAUUAAAUUUAUAGUCUGCCUAUUUUCUCGUUCGCAGAUUUAGUCUCUUUGAGCCGCCGAAAAAAUAGGUCGACUAAAUAUAGUCCAUCUGCUGGAGUAAAAUUAGUUUCCUAGACUAAAUAUAGUCUACAAAUUUGGCAUCUCCGGCUUGCUGGAGUUGCUCUCAGAAGGCCAACAGGUGGGGUUGUAGAUGUGAGCUUGUCAGCUAAAUCUGAACCGGACACCUGCAUGAACUCAUCAGUCUGUUAUAUUGAAUAGGUGAUUGACCAAUGACCAUUUAACAGCUGUCUUGCUUUUAGUAAUUUUUCAAAAUAUGUCCUACUCUUUAAUCAAAUAAUACCAACCCACGUGAUUAGUAUUUGGUCUGCCUUUUUGAAUUUGAUAAACAAUUUCUUUUGAAAAUGAAAAAGUGUCGCUAUAUAUCUAUAACUACAUUUUUCAUGUUAAAAUAUUAAAAAAUAUUGUACAUAUAUCAAUUUUUUUUUCUUUUUAAUUCUUAUAAAGUUUCAUUUUUUUUGGAUAAAUUUUUUUAUUGAAGGUUGAGAAUGUGCAACUUUUGUACUCCAUCCGUAGUUGAAAAUCGGAAGUAAUAGUAAAUUCGAGGUUGUUACUUAUAGUUAUAGUUAUUGCACUUAUAUUUAAAAACAAAAAUAUAAAUUUUGAAUAUACAUUUUUGUCCUUGUAUUCAUGGGAUGCAUCAAAAGGAAAAAGGGUAAAUGAAUAAUCUCUAUAUUAUUUUUGGGUUGUUCUCUCCAUUCCAGUGGAUCAAUUUUUCUUUUUAUAUUUUGUUAAAAGGCAAAAUGCUAUACCAACGAGCUUUAACUCAAAUGGAAUCAAAAGCAACAGAAAUUCUUUUAGAAGGUGUUCCAGGCUGUUUUGACAUUUUUAGUAGUAGUCUUAGAACUAUUCUACAACCAUUAUACCCUACUUUUCAUGUAUUAAUUGUUUAAAAAUGGAUUCCAUAUUCACUCUACCAGGCCACUAUGAUCAUGAUAGAUCAAUUUUGAAAAUAAAAUAAAAACUUUGAAUGCAUUUUUUUCCUUCAUAUUUGGCAUCAAAACAUGCAUUUAUUGAUCAGAAUUGUUUGCAUAUUUCAUAUUUUUAAGAGUCUCUUGCAUUUACUUGAUAUCCACAGAAACUAGUGAUUUGAUUGUACGAGGUAAAGAAAAUAUCGUUAUUUUUAUUAAGAAGAUGACAAUGUCGAUAACUACUACUCCCUCCGUCCCAUAGUUAUAGGCUGAUUUCUUUUGGCACAUAGUUUAAGAAAAUUAGUUAAGUGACAAUUUUUAACAUAAAUUUUUCACAUAUACCCUUUAAUAUGGAAUUAAUGAAUAAGUUAAUUACUCCUUACUUAUCACACUGGAACUCUUAACUUCAUUGAUUGACGUGUAUUGAACAUUAAAAUCCAUAAACUUUAACCAAAAGAAUACAACAACAUUAAAUGUGGUGAUAAAAAUAAUGACAUUGAAUGUUGUUUUUUCAAAAAAGAGUAAUGUUUGAAUAUUUAUUAUAAGGGCAUAAAAGUAAAAUUUUCUACAUCUUAGUGCUGUAUGUGAUUUUGAUCCAAAUUUGUAAUGAUGAAUUAUUUAGAUAUAAACAGAUAGAUAUGCAUGAUGUCCAAUUUUUCAAAUGGUGUGGCUAAAUACACAGUUAAAUUAUCAUAUAUAUUAAUUUUUUUGUCAUUUAGAUUGAUGUUCUUCAUUUGGUCUAUGUUAUAUCACACGCAGUUGGUUAGCCCGGGUGCAUGGCUAUGUGAUCUGACCCUAGACCGAUACGAGGUCAUGGAGAAGAAGGUCGCUAAGAAGGUAAACAUGAAAAAACAAAUGGUAUAUACCUUGAUUUCUUUUAAUUUUACAUCGAAUCUCCCAUUCAUAAUUAAUUUUUUUCAAUUUUGUUAAGAGUUAAUUUAUAUAUAUCUCGAGGUUAUGUUAAAUAAAUACUCCAUCUGCAGAGACCUAGAGGGCUAAAGGCUAUGGGAAACAUGGAAUCAGACUCUGAAUAAAGAAAAAAACAUGGUAUAGAUAGCAACAAGAUUAGUGUUGUUAAUGAGAAAGGAGGUGAAGAUGCAUGGGGGAUGUAUAUUUUCUCUUCGAUCUGUGUAGGUUUUUAGCAUUUCUGCAAAAAAUGUGCACCAUCAUCAAUUCAUUGUUUUGCACCUUAUAAAGAUAUCCACAACAAAAAAUGACAUUUUUACAUGAAAAUCGUUGCUAUAGGUCCUAUAGCGAUGAUUUUCACCGUCGUUGUACAUCUAUAGCGACAUUUUUUAUGUGCAAAUAUCAAAAAAUGUUGUGGAAAUAUCAAUUUCAAUGUAUAAAAGUUUUAUCCUUUUCCUCUUUGGCCUUCAAGAGGAGGUGUACCCUCUUGUUUUUGGUUGGUUUGGGCUGGGGAGGGUUCACAUACAAUAUAAUAGUUUGUCUUCGGCCUUUAAGAGGUAAACAUACACUUUACUUCUCUAGCAAAUGAAAGCAAAAAGGCUUCAAUUUAUUGUCUCAAUUCACUCUCUCAAAAAUAUCUUCAUUAGCAGUAAUUUAGAACCAUUACAUGACAAAUUAUUCUAUAUAGUUUGAUGUGAAACUGUGUUGUUACGAGAGCAUAUCCUCUGUCCUCAAUUUUUUUCUAUGUGUCCCCCCACUUUAAUUUUGACAUAUAAUCUCUUACUUAACACCAAUUAAUUCUAAAAUUAAAUAAAAUGACAAGUGUCAAAAUUGAAGUGGGGGGACAGGGAAAUUGGGUACAGAUGAUUUGCUCUCGUGUUGUUACAAUAUCUUUCACAUUUUUGGUAUGAUAUUUUAAGGGUGGUGUUAGGGUUUUUAAAUUUUUUGUUUUAAAAAGUGUCUCAAAUGACAUGUCAUAUUAAUAUUAAUUGAGUAGAUUUUAUUUGUAUGUCAUAUAUUAUUAUUAAAAUAUUUAAAAUCAUGUCAUUUGAGACCUUAAUAUUAUUUUAUUUUAAUAUAUUUAAAAUUGACAUUCGAUAACUUGAUUAAGUUUACUUCGAUACAAAAAAAAUUAACUUAAAAUUUUAAAUCAGUAUAUAGAGUAAAAAAAAAGAAGACAACAUUUAAAAAUAUCAAUGACAAUCCGAAAUUUAAGAUUUAAUGUCGAAUAGAAAAGUGAAGGAAAUGGAAUGGAGAGUGGGAUGGGUGCCAUUUCAGCUGAGAUGAGUCAUUAAAAUUCACAAAUUUGGUAGUAAGAAGAAUGAUUUAUUCAAUUUUUAAAAAAAGAAAAAAUGCAAUUUUUUUUCGUAAUAAGAAUGAGUCAAACUAUUCUCAUAUUUAUUCCUGCAAUUCAAACGUAAUAUCGAUCCGGAUUUGGAUCCUUUAUGAGGAUUUUUCUGUAAAGAUCUUGUGAGAGUUUUGCUGUGGGUUGAUAACACAUCAAAAAAGAGAUCUAAUGACUCACAACUCUUUUCCUUGUUUGUGUAUCAAAACGACGUCGUUUUGAUAUAAUUUUUUUUUACAAGUUGACAGAAAAUUGGAAGCCACCAAAUGCUGUUUACUUCGUUUGUUUGCUUCGUUUUUCUGUUUUCUUCUCCUUUCCUUCUUUGCUUCGUUUCUUGUUCUUCUCAGAGCACGCCAAGGUUUAGAUUAGCCAAAUUUCAAUUGGAUUUUUUUUCUCCUUAUUCAAAAUUUUCCCAGCUCAAUUUUUUAAUAGGAUAAAAAAUGUCCGUUGGAUUUAUUUUUUUGAAGAGCAAAGAAUAAUAUUAUUAGCUUUUGACAAAAAUAUAAAGAUUAAUAAUCCUAUCGAUUCCAAAAAAUAAAUGAUUAAUAAUUAUAAAACGUCCCAACUAACCCAUUACAAUCAUGAAAUAAGUCAUGCCGCUCAUAACUAACCAGAAUUAGCAAACAAACGAAGUCAACUUGCAAAAAAAAUUCAUGUCAAAACGAUAUCAUUUUGAUACACAGAUAAAGAAAAGAGUUGUGCGCUAUUGAAUCUCCUUUUUAAUGUAUUGUUAAUUCUACAGCUAAACCCUCACAAGAUCCUUACGGAAAAAUUCUCAUAGUAUCCGGAUCCAGCAUAAGAGAUAAAUUAAUAAAAACAUUGUACAGAAACCACCAUCCCAUACUGAGAUAUGUCAAAAAAUAAUAAUAUCAACUAGCAAGUGUAGUUAAAACAAUUAAUUUUAAAAGUUCAGUAUCAGUAAAAUGACCGAUAAAACAAUUAAUUUUAUUGUUAUAACACUAAGAAUCGUUUAAAGUUAAGUAUCACUAUAUAUAUAUAUAUAUAUAUAUAUAUAUAUAUAUAUAUAUAUAUAUAUAUAUAUAUAUAUAUANNNNNNNNNNNNNNNNNNNNNNNNNNNNNNNNNNNNNNNNNNNNNNNNNNNNNNNNNNNNNNNNNNNNNNNNNNNNNNNNNNNNNNNNNNNNNNNNNNNNCUAUAGCGACGAUUUUCAUAUAAAAAUAUCAAAAAAAUUAUAUGAAAAUAUCAAUUUUCUAAAUUAAUAGUUAAAAUUUAAGGGAUAGCUUUGUCUUAAAAAAUUAUCCAAUAUGACCAGUUGACGGUAAUCUCAGUUAUCACCAUUUUUUGGUUAUACGUUUCUCUGAAUUUCAAAUCUCAAACUCUUUCAGCACAGAAAUGACAGUCUCUCAUUCCACAGCUACAUUAAUAAUAAUUCAUAUUAAUAUAGUAAUAAUAAUAUAAAUUAUUAUUACUAUAUUAAUAUUAAUAUUAAUACUAAUACUAAUAAUAUGAAUAUGAAUAUUAAUACUAAUACUAAUAAUAUGAAUAUUAAUAUUCAUAAUCAUAUUAUGAAUAUAUACUAAUAAUAAUUCUAAGUUCAUUGGGACUUUAUGCAUGCAUGCCUUCGUAAAAGCUUGCCGGUACAGCUUGUUUCAUCAGGACUUUAUUUUUUUAUUUUGUGUCUAUCCUUGCCGCAAGAGCCUAUUGUGGCAGAUGAAGAAUUAAAGGGCUCAACACUUAGUUUUGUACGGACAGGGAAUAGAGGGGCAAUUGGGACAAUAGCCUUGUCGAUCUUGCUGCCGCAAGAGUUUGUUGUGGCAGGUGUGAUCUUGAUUUUAAUAUGGGUCAUUCAUUAUCGAGAUCAACAGUUAAAAUCAUGGUUGUUAGAAUAGUGUCCAUAAUAACUGGUUGACACGGAUAAGGACCCUAUAUAUAUAUAUAUAUAUAUAUAUAUAUAUAUAUAUAUAUAUAUAUAUAUAUAUAUAGUCCGGAUCAGGUAAGGACUCUCUCACGGUAUUAAAAUGCGAAUUUUUUAUGGCUUUUUUUUAAAACAAUUAAAAAAAAUAUUAAUAUUUUAUUGAACUGUAAUUUUUCCAUAAUACAGUGUUUUGGAUGUGAUUUGGAUACAUAUAACAAUAUAGGUCAGUACAGACUGUAAAGACCUGUUUUGUUAUAUGUAUCCAAAUCACACCCAAAACAAUGUAUUCUGAAAAAAUUCAAGUUAUAUAAAAUAUUACUUUUUUUUUAAUUGUUUUAAAAAAAAGCAAUAAAAAAUUCCGUAUUUUAAGAAAAUGCGGGAGUCCUCACCUGAUCAUCUCUGUAUAUAUAUAUAUAUAUAGAGAGAGAGAGAAAGGAUAAAACAUGUUUAUACAUCAUUUGAGACCUUAAUAUUAUUUUAUUUUAAUAUAUUUAAAAUUGACCUUCGAUAACUUGAUUAAGUUUACUUCGGUACAAAAAAAAUUAACUUUAAAUAUUAAAUCAGUAUAAAGAGUAAAAAAAAAAGACAACAUUUAAAAAUAUCAAUGACAAUCCAAAAUUUAAGAUUUAAUGUCGAAUAGAAAAGCGAACGAAAUGGAAUGGAGAGUGAAAUGGGUGCCAUUUCAACUGAGAUGAGUCAUUAAAAUUCACAAAUUUGGUAGAAAUAAGAAUGAUUCAUUCAAUUUUAAAAAAAAGAAAAAAGACAAAAAAAAAUUCAUAAUAAGAAUGAGUCAAACUAUUCUCACAUUUAUUUCUGCAAUCCAAACGUAGCAUAAGAGGAUUUCUUUGUGAAAAUCGUGUGAGAGUUUUGCUGUGGGGUUGACAACAAAGCAAAAAGGAGAUCCAAUGGCUCACAACUCUUUUCUUUGUUUGUGUAUCAAAACGACGUCGUUUUGAUAGGAAAUUUUUUUUACAAGUGGACAGAAAAUUGAAAGCCACCAAACGCCGUUUACUUAGUUUGUUUGCUUCGUUUUUCUGUUUUCUUCUCCUUUCCUUCUUUUCUUUGCUUCGUUUGAAGGCCAUUUUUUACAUGUUCAUAUCAAAUAGAUACUAUGGAUGAUUGCCCAUAUAUAUAUAUAUAUAUAUAUAUAUAUAUAUAUAUAGGGUCCUUAUCCGUGUCAACCAGUUAUUAUGGACACUAUUCUAACAACCAUGAUUUUAACUGUUGAUCUCGAUAAUGAAUGACCCAUAUUAAAAUCAAGAUCACACCUGCCACAACAAACUCUUGCGGCAGCAAGAUCGACAAGGCUAUUGUCCCAAUUGCCCCUCUAUUCCCUGUCCGUACAAAACUAAGUGUUGAGCCCUUUAAUUCUUCAUCUGCCACAAUAGGCUCUUGCGGCAAGGAUAGACACAAAAUAAAAAAAUAAAGUCCUGAUGAAACAAGCUGUACCGGCAAGCUUUUACGAAGGCAUGCAUGCAUAAAGUCCCAAUGAACUUAGAAUUAUUAUUAGUAUAUAUUCAUAAUAUGAUUAUGAAUAUUAAUAUUCAUAUUAUUAGUAUUAGUAUUAAUAUUCAUAUUCAUAUUAUUAGUAUUAGUAUUAAUAUUAAUAUUAAUAUAGUAAUAAUAAUUUAUAUUAUUAUUACUAUAUUAAUAUGAAUUAUUAUUAAUGUAGCUGUGGAAUGAGAGACUGUCAUUUCUGUGCUGAAAGAGUUUGAGAUUUGAAAUUCAGAGAAACGUAUAACCAAAAAAUGGUGAUAACUGAGAUUACCGUCAACUGGUCAUAUUGGAUAAUUUUUUAAGACAAAGCUAUCCCUUAAAUUUUAACUAUUAAUUUAGAAAAUUGAUAUUUUCAUAUAAUUUUUUUGAUAUUUUUAUAUGAAAAUCGUCGCUAUAGAUCUUACAUCGAUAAUUUUUACCAUCGCUAUAUACAUCUAUAGCGACACUUUUCAUGUGAAAAUACCAAAAAAUCAUGUGAAAAUAUCAAUUUCUUUAAUUUAACAAUGUGAACCAAAUUCAAUGUCUAAUAUUAAAUUUUUAUAGUAAAUGUUCAGUCACUACACCAAAAAUGGUCUCUAGUGAAGGGCAAAUAUUUUCUUCGCUAAGUAGUAACUAAAUUUUUUUUGUGAAGGAUAUAUUGUGAAUAACUUUUUUAUUCACAAAUUGUAAUUGGUAAUGGAAUAUUGUUAUUUAGUGAAAGAUUGAUUUCCUUCAUAAAUAAUAUUUUAAGGACUAUUUAAAAUUAGUGAAUAACUUUAUUUCCUCACAAAUAAUAUAUUAUGAAGAACAAAUUUAUUUAACGAGAGAAAAUUUUUCUUCACUAAUUAUAAAUUAAGAAUGUAUCUUUAAAUUAGUGAGGGAAAUAAUCUUUCAUUGAUGACUAACUAGUUAACUAAAAAAGAUUUUAGUGAGGGAAAUAAUCCUUCAUUAAUGUUCAUUUCUUCAUUAUAAUAUCUCAUUAAAAUAUAAAUAACAAAAAUGUGCACAUAAAUUUUAUAUAUACUAAAUGAGAAACUAAUUAUUAUAUCAUUUCAAAAGUAUAUAAUGUAUACAAAGCUAGUAUAGCCAAUAUACACACUAAAAUUACAAGACUUGUUACUAAAAGCAAGUGCCAUAUCACCUACAAUAUGUAUCCACAUAUAUUACACAAUGAAAAAAAACUCGAGCUAUAAAGCGUAGUAAUUGUUAGCUCCUCAUUAUUUUCGUUUUCAAGUAAGUCAAAGUUGAGCCUUUAACUUCAUUUUUCAAGAAAAGUAUCAAAACCCUUUCAAUACUGCAAGAAAAGUAUCAAACCCCAAUUUUACAAACAUGAAUAACAAAAGAUUUACUAACAAAACUUAAAUUAAGCUACGAGUUACUCUAAAAGAUUAGUUAUUAGAGAACGAAUCCAAUAACGUAUAUUAUAUGAUUUUAACACUCCCUCCCACAGUGACCAUCCUCUAUCAGGCAGAGCACACUACAUUGUAAUGCACAUAACAACAAGAGGAAAUUAAACGAGCAGAUUCAACUUAAAGUUGUUGCCAAGAUUGUAAAGGUGCAUUUCAAAUUUGAAGUUUCAAAAUUAGUUGUCCAUGGAAAGGUCAUAAAUAAUAACUGAGUUCCAGAUCUAAAGCAUUCCUUCAUAGUGUAACUGUAACAUUAGGGCAAAAUUAAGAUUGCAAUAGAGCACGAAUGCACCGAAUCAAUUAGUAAGAUUAAACGUACAUAUGAUGUGGGACUCCAUAAGGUCUGCUUAGUAUCACAUAUACACACGCACAAAGAAAAGUUACGCCUAUAGAAACAUACAUUAGACAUACAACAAAAUUCGUGGGGAUAGGAAGGAAAAUAAGAUAAUACAUAAUAUACCUGAAAGAGAUCACAAAACUAGUUACAGGUUUCUUUUAGCUCCUAAUUUUAUUUAUUCAAUUUUACGGGAUUUAGAUCAAAGCUUCUAAUUGGUAUAUAUUUCUGCAAUUUCUUUCUAAAUAAGUUUGACUGUGGCAUGUUCAUGAUCAAAUAUUGUGACUUCUAUAGCAGAGAUGUGGGACUCUGUUUUAAUCAGGUACUCCAUGUAUAAUUUUGUUUGUGUUUAUCUUCUUUUGGUAACAGGAAAAGUUUUAAAGUUUAAAUUGCUAUCAUUUGAAUUUUUUUAACAUGUUAACUAAACUAUCAAGCAUGAAGGUCCUGGACACCGAAUCCUAUGCUGUUACAAAAUAUUGAAUCAGGUAGAAACAGACAGGAAAAUACAAAGGAAGUUUGCGAGUUUAUUCUGAUGCAAUAUUCAGAACCUAAUCCUUGACAUCUUCCUAGUUGGAGUAUGCAACUGCUUCAAUGUUGCUACGCUUUCUCUUGGUUAUUUUGUUUUGUUUUUGUUGGGGGGAGUAGGGGGGUUGACAAUGUCUUUUUGCAAUCUGGGCUGUUUAGGUAGGCCUAGUUGGGAGAAAAAAAUGAUCUUUUUCCGGUUUAUGGAGUUAACUUUGAUUCUUAAUUAACUAUCUCUAGGAUAGGCUAGGAAGAAAGGCUAGGGAAGAAACAUAAGGUUAAUUAUAAAAUUCACGAGCCUCCUAGUGCUGGGUGUGUGNNNNNNNNNNNNNNNNNNNNNNNNNNNNNNNNNNNNNNNNNNNNNNNNNNNNNNNNNNNNNNNNNNNNNNNNNNNNNNNNNNNNNNNNNNNNNNNNNNNNGAUAUAUAUAUAUAUAUAUAUAUAUAUAUAUAAAUGGAAACAAAAAAAAAUAAUUAUGUAAAAGAAGGGAAAAACAGUUUACAAGACAAAACCACAUACAGGUACAUGAGUGCUUAAGAAGUGUUCAUCAGCAUAUUUUUUUUGGGAACCAUCUCCCCGCACACUUUACAUUUUUCCAGAUUCCGGGAGCAGUGAGCAUAGUGCAAGUCAAUAUUUGAAGAAGGAAUGUCUCUGUCGCUGGAUACAUAAAAAAUUAUGUUAAUCAGCAAACAGUUGCUACUUGCUAGGUUAGACAAUUAAAAAUGCCUACUUCAAAGACAAAUUAAAUUUGCAGAACCAAUGCAGAGAAAUAAAUAGGCUGAAGCUCAAACUCUUGAUAAUAAUCCAGCUAAACUUCAUUUAUCAAUUGCUUCAAUAUACAUAAUCCAAAUAAUUCAAGCUAAAAUUCCUUUGAGACUCAAGAAAUAAACUGUGUGACCUCCAAACUUUACUUUAAGAUAAACACACUAUCAAAGUCUUAGAAAGGUAUGGAACCCUAGACUAACCAUGAGGAGGACAAGGACCCCUUGACUAAAGUAAUACACUCUGACUGAAGGAGAAUGGGAAAAGACAGCUAAAGUACAGCCAAGGAUCCAAAGUUCCAAACACAAGAAUAGUAACCAAUCUUGCACAUCAAGCACUAUUUAGCAAUGUUAACUUAAUGCAAGGAGGUGAGAGGGUAAAUCUUUCGUAUGUUCUUUUUGCAGUUUUGCUACUAAAAAAAUUGUAGAAGAUGUCUCUUGAUUUUACCAGUUGUUUCACUCAGAAAUGAUCGGUACCAAUAUUACGGACUAGGAUUACCUGAGUAGUGGAGCGAGCAACCCCAUCCCAUUUGUUGAAAAUGCUUCUGCUGUUUUCUGUCCACACUCCAUAAUCCGUCCUGUGGUCCAGAUAGGAAACAAUAAUAUUGCUGAUAUUCCAAUUAAUUGAAAUAAGGAAUUGAUUUUUUUUAAUAUUUAUUUUGGGGUUUGGAGUGAGGGUGGUUUAGCAAAAUCAAAACCUAGUGCUUACCCUACAACAAAGAAUGCAUAACCAUCUAAGUGGUAGCUCUGAACAGUACUAUCACCAUUUUGUAGUAUGAUUUCCAUAAAUCCUCUGUAACUACCAUUAAUUAAAGAAGUGUCAACUUUUGCAGGUCUGUUCAUCAGUCUAUAGGGGAAAUCAAGCUUGUAAACCCCAGGAAUGUUAAAUUGCUGAGCAAGCUUCAGUGGUGUUGAAGGUGAAAAGUGUGAAAUACCGUUGAGAGUAGCACGCCAUUUUCCCAUCUAUAAGCUCAGCAGGCCUAUUGAGAAUCACAUAGACAUCUGUUACAGUAAUCUGACAAUAUCUGAAAGAUCCUUGAGGAUUUGGACGAGCAGCACCAGCAGAAACAAUCCAUCUGCAGAAUACCAAACACAAUCAUGUAAACAAUAGUCAGACCAAAAUUAUGAGAGCAUCCAAAAUUUACCCCCAUAAACAGAUAAUCAAUUUUCAAGACAAUGAACUGCAAAGGAAACAAACAUGGUCAGAAACCUUCUUUCUGAUUCUGAAGCUAAGAUGCAGCAUCAUUUGCCUCCCCUCCUAAUGAAAUUGGUAACUUACAGCAGUUGAAAGAGAUAUCUACCCCAUUAUUCAUUUAUAAACUUCAAUUUCAGGAAUCUGGACAUCUUUGUAAUACUUCAAAAGUUUAGAAGUUUUUUAUGGGGAUAAUAUGCCGUGUUACACCAAUCUAAGGAGAGGCCUCAAGAAGAUUUCUAAUAUAAUAUAGAAAGAUAAUUCUUUCACUACAACCUUAUGGAUCUUGCUUGAUUCACUGAGAAAAAUCUGUCAUAUUCAUUAGGGGAAUCUGGAAGAGGACCUGAAGCAGGCCCUUGAGAAUUGGAGUAGUGCAAGAUGGCUAUGCCUUUAGCUCUAGUCCAAGCAGAGGAAUUGACAAACCACGAACUGGCAACGAUGUGGUAGCAUUUUGAUCCAUUGUGACCAGAAACGAAUAUGACUGGCCAACAUGAAUAUCCAUGUUUGCAUAGUUUUGCUGCACGGUGUAUGACCCUUCAGUCUCUACAAGAAGCAAGUUAUGAUUUUGGAUUCUGAAAUUCAAACUAGUAGCAAUACCAACAUUGUGCACUCGAAGGUGAUAUGUUUUUCCUGUUACAUGUAAACUAACCAAUUAUUAUUCAUUAUUUGAGCUGCAAUAGUUUUAACUGACUACAUGAUAUCAACAACACAUUUAAGGCAAGUUCUGUAAAUAAAUAGGAAAUUAUAUAAUUCAGUAAUUCAAUAUAUACCUGCAUAUAUAAUCGUCAAUUCUGGGGCAGUGAAACAAUGUUUCAAAUACAUAAGAAAUACAUAAUUGCGCAUUUUUUAUAGAAGGUGACGAAGAUUAUAAGAUGUAGGGUUUAUAGUGUCAACAACGGUAGCAUUUAGUGUGUUUGCCACCGCACCACAACUAGUGUAGUCUAUUUUUGAGUUCUGAAUGUUGCAUUUAUAAUAAGUUGUUUGUAAAUGAACGAUAUUUUCAAGUUCAAGCACACUAAACCCUCAAUAUGCCAAAGCAUUUACAAAAAGUAACAUUGAUUUGAAAAAAUAACAAGAGUAUAAUGUUCUGAACCUGAAGUUUAGGUAUAAUUUUCAGAUAUUCCUGGACACUUUUAUCGCGAAAAUCAGGCUCUUCUAUAAGAACAAUAUCAUUUGUCAAAAUACCAUAUUCUCUAGUAAUUACCUUAGCAGUAUGAACAUUAUCACCAGUAACUAUCCGAACCAUAAUUUCAGCAUCCAAACAAGUUUUUACAGCUUCUUUCACCUCAGGGCGCACCAAAUCCUAUUAAUUCCAACAAUCGCUAGAAGUGUGUAACUAUUAUCCAAAAUAUUUUCCACGUUAUUAUUACUAUUUCCCAUAUUCUUAUAAGCUAAACAAAGUGUUCUUAACGCUUCAAAAGCGUUCUUUGGCGGCGAAUCCCUUUAAACCUCCAUGUGUAUCCAAACUCUAAACAUUAUGAGAGCAAUUAAUGUAUGCAAGUUCAUCCUGUUCAAUUUCAAAUCCAGCUUUACUGACCUCGUCAGAGCAUGGAUUAAAUACUAAUCGCUAUACAAGAUAAACAUAGAAUUAAAAUUUUAAAUUUUUUUUAAGGCAAAUGAACAAUAUAAUGUGAAGAAUUUUAGUAAAUAUCAUACCAUCAAUGAAAUGUAAUGCAGCCCUUUGUACGUAUAGAGCUAUAUGGAUCUUUUCUUAUAAAAAAAUGAUAGCAACAAUAGUAUUUCUAAACAAAAAUGUUGGAUAUAUGUGUGUGUGUGUGUGUCUGUGUUUGUGUGACAAGUUUUUAAGGACAAUGUUAUUUUGUACUUUUGUUUUUAAAUUUUCUAUUCUUUGGUGCACGAAGUAAAUGAAAAACAGAAUGAUGAACUUAUAUUAGAGAUGGAGAGUUUUUUAAAAUACUCAAUUACUCAUCACUGAAACUUACCUUUUUAGGCUGCAGGUUGAUCUCGACAUGACGAUUAGUAUAGUCUUUAUUGAGAAAAUGAAGAUAGUGGACAAUAAAUUAUCAAACUAUUAGGAAAUGGGAACUAAGUUGUAACAUUUUUGUUUUCAUAAGUAAAUCAAACUGAACCACAGCAUAUUCCCACAUGAAACUUGGGUAAACAAAGUACCCAAACAAGCAGAAUGCAAACAAAUAACAAAUAAUCACGUAUAACUUAAGCAUAAAAAUGUAAAUUCUUACUCCGUAUAACAUUAAUCAAGCAAACAUACCAUGAUAUGGCAUAGGGUCAUAUGAUUGAACAACUAUAAAUCACUACUCAAAAGUCAGCCAGAAAGUGUAUUGACUUAGGGCUUUAGAAUGCAAAAAAAAGUUACAAUUUAAUGAACCAUUUCCUUGUUGUGCAAAUGGGAGCACCACGUAUCACUUAAUUGUUUAUCACGAAAGGUGAAAAAUGAAAAUAACCAUUUAUGUUGAAAAGAAGGGAUUUUUUACAUCACAAUCACAAACCACGCCCAUGAAAUAAAUAAUAGACCCAGGAAGGCCCAAAUUGAGAUGAGUAUACCAAAACAACUGUUGAGCUUUUAUAGUGUAGUUUGAUUUCAAAUAAAGUAAUAAACUAAAUAGAACCACUCGCUGGUUAUACCGUGAAUAGGAAAAUGGCGACAAUAGCCUGAACCGCUUGUUGGAGAAGAGCACCUUUGACUACCGUCUUCUUCGAUACUGAAUUCUUAUCAUCUUCAUCCUUCUUCGAAUGCAACCUAUAAUUCUCAAGAGAUCCAAACAUUAAAUAUAUACCUGAAUAUGCCCAAUACACCACAAGCCGCCAUUACAAAUUAGUAAUCAAAUACAGAUACAGUAGUAUCACAAUCUAUUAAUCUAUAAUUAAUUAAACAUUGAAUACCAUUUUGUUGAGAAAUAAUUGGGUGCAUUAUUGCUAUUGGAUUGAGAAAAAUACAAUUAAAUAAAAGGAUGAAGAUCGACUUACUAUUAAUAAACGUGAGGAAUAUGGGCUAUCUUGUACCAUUCUGGGCCACUUUCUUGAGCACAUCUUUCUUUGAGAAGUUUACAAUCUUGAAUCUGCAGACUGUUCAAGUUUGUGAGGCGUUUCAUUGCUUCCAAUGUGGGCAUCCUAACAAAAUUUCGGCAUCGCCAAAGCAUCAGAUGUCGAAGAGACGAGAGAUUUCCUAGCCAAUCAGGGAGAGCCUCCAGCCCGUCAAAUCUUUCCAACGUUAAUCGAGUCAAUCUGGCAUAAGAGGAGAGGUGUUGUAGUUGCUCAGGUAGCGACUUGAGCUUUGGCCAUCCGAUCAGAUGUAGAUCAUUUAGGGAGGAAACAGAAGAGAAGGGCCACGGAAAAUGAUCAAGGUCCGCAAGGAAGGGACCUAUUGUCAAUCCCUCAAGUCCGAUUAAACUUGUGGAAGAUGGAAAAUCAGGCAAGGCAUCCCAGUCUGCAAGGCGUAACCUUCUUAAAGAUUUGUUGUUUCCCAAAAACUUGACAACUAUAGACGAGUUGAACUCUAUGGAGCCUCCUUUGAUUCUAUCCAGGUGUAGAUAGGUGAGAGAGUUCAAUUUGGUACAUAUCUUUUCUAGCGCAACGCUGUUCAUUCCAUCAAUUAUUAAUUCCUUUAGGGAUGGAAAAUGACUAGGAAGAAUCAUCAAAUUAUCACACUCCCGAAUAAGUAACGAUUCAAGGAAUGGAAACGACUUGGGAUCAUGCAGUACUGUGUCUGCUUCCAUCCAUUCCUCUAACAUUGUCAUUCCCCACAGUGUGACUUCUCUCAAUGAUGAAAAUGUUUUUGCAUCACCAUGGCCACAGUAAAAUUCUUUCCCAAUACGCUUUACAUUACGCAUAUUAUCUAUAUAAACGGACUUGAGAUUAGGAAGGUGCCCAAGUGGUGGAAUUCCUUCACAUCUGUUGCAGUUUCUCAGGCAGAUAUCCACCAAGUUUUCAAGUACUACAGAUAACCGACUUUCGGUAAUCAUCCAAGAUGCAAACUUCUUGCCUUUGAAGUUUUCAACAUUCAACUUUUUCAAAUAUGCUGGAGGUUCAAGACCUUCCAAGACAUCCUCAUCAUUGUACUCCAAAUUAUCAUGACCCACAGGUUUCCAGUGAAACUCCAAAUGUUGGAUUUUUGAUUUUUUCGAUAAAUUUGCCUUGCUGGCAUCUCCCAUGUUUGUCACUUCUUCAAGGCCAUAUAUACUCAAACCACCUUUAAGAUUGUUCAAACCUCCCAGAUUCUCAAUACGAAAUUUCUUAUCUGGACCAACCACAAAGAAUGUCAACGUUUGUAGACAAGUCAACCGCUGUAGAUCAAUCAACAUACCAUCCAUAUUCGAUGAGCCGCUGAAUAAAGGAGCUGAAUGUAUAUGUCUCAUAUUAAUUAAGUUCCCAAACUUUUUGGGGAGCUUCCAUAGACGUCCAAAUCUUAGGGUCUGCAAGUUGUACAACUUCGUGAUGGAAUCUGGCAACUCUUGGAUUGCGGUGUAUUGGAUGUCAAGAUAUCUCAAAUAUUUUAACUGUCCUACCGAGCUUGGUAACUUUGUAAUAGGAUAACUAUCAAGAACCAAGACAGUUAAGUUUGUGAGAUUAGGUAUCAUGUUGCCAAGGAUACCACCACCCGUCAAAUUUAGUGUUUGUACACUCUCAAAGCUUCCUUUUGAUAUUUUCGGUUUUAUAUCCUCGGCCCCUUUCAACCACACAUGCUCUGCCUCACAAACAUGGUUCACCUCACUAGCCUCCAGAGUUUUGCAAUAAUUUCUUGAUGCGUCUAGUGCAAGGUCAUGAACAAGAUCGUGCAUCUUACAACCAAUGAUAUUGCCGUAUGCAUCCUCUACUACAUCUUGUAGCAAAUAAUUCCCCAACAAAGUGCUAAAAUACUCGUUGCCUAUAUCCUCAAUCGCCAAAUCACUUCCUCUAGGAGGCUGAAGCAGCCCUAAGGCCAUCCAAAUUUGGAUUAACUUAUCCUUCUUUAUGUCAAAAUCUUUAGGAAAAGUAGCACAAUAUGCAAAACAGUGUUUCAAAGAUGAAGAAGACAAAUUGUUGUAUGUUAGCUUUAAGGAAGGCAAGACAUCUCUUAUGAGCCAUGUUUCACUAUUUUGGAUCGACAACCAAUCCUGUUCAGACUUCUUUGAGUACAAUAAACCCCCUAGUGCCUUUAUCGCUAAUGGCAGGCCGCCACACCUUUCCACCAUCCGUCUACCCAUGGACUCCAAAUUAUCAUUCUCCACUACUCCAUCCUGUCGAAAUGUUAUUUGCUUAAAUAGUUGCCAACUAUCAUCUUCCGAUAGUCCGAGCAACAUAUGAGUAAACACUUGAUAAGUAGGAGAAAUUUGCAUGGUUGAAACAACUUCAUCCUUGCGAGUAGUCACCAUAAUUUUGCUUCCCUUGGCACCACCUACAUCUACCAAACAACUUCUCAUGCAAUCCCAUUUUUCUGAAUUUUGGUUCCAGACAUCAUCAAGUACAAGUAAAAAGGUUUCCCCCUUUAUAUUUUCUUGAAGUUUUUUUAUGGCCGCUUCCUGAUUUGAAAAUCGAGGAUUGGUUCCGGUGAGAGACUGAACCAUCUCGUUUAAAACCCUGAUGACAUCAAAAUCAUCAGAUAUAGUAACCCAGAUUUUUUUCUGGAAAAAGCUCAUCACCUCAUCACUUUUAUAAACCAAACGAGCAAGAGUUGUCUUCCCCAAGCCUCCCAAUCCCACCACAGCAAUGACAGAUAAAUCCUUUUCAUUAUUUUCACACAACAGCUUAACAACCCUUGAUAUAUCAUCAUCCCUUCCCACUAUCUGCGUCUUAUCUAUCGAGGGUGGGGUGUGUCGGAUUUCACUACGUUGGACAGUGGCAUUUAGAUGCUCUACAGCCCUAAGUCCGAUCUCUUGUGCCCAUUUGUAAAUUUUGUCCAAGGAUAUAUUAAUAUUCUUGAUCUUAUGAGACAUCUUGAAACGAUAUAAAAUGCUGUUUUUGGAUCGAAAAAUGAAGUCACGUACCUUUCGUUCCUCUACCCUUCUUCGAAGAACUUCGUAAUUGAGCUCCUCCAUUAGAGCAUCAGCAACACGGGCUACAUCUUUGAGCUUCUUCAGCCAGAGUUGGACGGCCUCCACUGUCACUUGCUUGCUAUCAGCAUAAGACAACAGCGCGUCCACCAAUUCCAAUCUUUGACGCAGUGCUUGGAGAUUUUCCUCAAGACCCCAUGCCUGGAUCAACUCUUCAGCUGCAAGCGAAAGAAUCUUGCGGAGGAGUCCGCUUGCAAGAUCAGCCGCAAAUGCAUCAACCAUCUUCUUUCCUUAAUUUCUCUGCUGAUAUCAAGAAAUGGGUAUGGUUGGUGAGAGUGAGUUUCUUCUUUUUCCCUGCUUCAGGCUUAAGAGUAAUGGAUGUGAGAAUUAAUGAAGAUUCGUGGCUGCAAAUUGGCCUUGAAAAGGAAUGCUUGACUCGCCUUUUCACCAAGUCCUCCUCAACCAUCAUGGCGGCCUCCACGUCCAAUUCACCAUUUGAAAAUUCAAUUGCAUGAAAUAUUAACCUUGGAGAAAGUAAGUAUGAAACUAAGCAACUAUAUUAAAAUAAGAGUAAAAAAAAUAUGAGUACUUUAAAACUAGAGAUAUAUUUUUGUUUUGAGAUAUAAAAUAUCAUAAAAUAGGUGAAACAAUGUAUUAAAACCAGAUCCGGUUAACAUGAAGUUUAUUUUUUUGGUAAGUUAUUUAAUUGACCAACGUAAAGAAGGUGAGCUGCACGUUAGUAUUCUAUCAACCAAUUUACCCAAAAAUAAACUUCAUCCUAAACACUCCCAUUAAAACCAGCCGGUUGAAUGUUCAUGUAUGUCCUUUAUUCAAGAAAGUUGAGAGAUGGACGGUGGAGAUUGAAAGGAAGAAGGAUGCCUUUUUUGACCAAUUUAAUAUCAAGUCUCCACUUGAGCAUUCACAUGGUAUUGUCAUUGUCAUAAUAGACACCGCAAAUAAAGGACAAACCCAUUGCUACAAUAAUGCAAGUUAACUAGCCAUUGCUAUAAGCCUACAAUAAUAUGCCUAGUUAACUAGGCAUUCCACCUAACCAUGAUUUAAAGUUGCGUUAUAUAUUUUGAAACCUCUAUUUUUUUAUUCGACAUAGGUUUUGAUAUUGGUUUCGGGUGUACUGACAGUUAAUUAUUUAGGAACUUUAUAUUUUUUAUUAAAAAAUUGAAUAAUAAGUAUAACGAGAUGGAUCAAUUAAUUUUACAAAAAAAAUACUGUCUAGCGCAUAUAAUAUUGUCAAAACAAUAAAUCAGACAUCUCCCAGAUAUGUUUGAUCCAUAUUACGUUUGAAUAAAGUUGAUAUUGAUAUUAUCUUAGCUCAAAUAGCUGAGCAUAAAUGUUCUACAUAAUUUAAGUACAAUUUAACUUCAUAUUUUAAGUGUAAUUUCUUUCGGAGUUGUUCUUAAAUAGGUACUAUAUAGGUAUCAUUUAAGUGUAAUUUAUGUAUAAUUUAACUUAACUAAUUAUAUAUUAAGUACUUUUUUUAUGUUAUACAUAACUAGGUGUUAUACAUGUACAAUUUAACUAAAGUAACUAUAUUUUAAGUACAAUAUUUUUUUUCAAUUUUUGUAAGUAAUACUUAAUUAGAUAUUAUAUAGGUACAAUCUAAGUAUAAUUUAUUCUUCUCUUAUGUUGUCUCUCUUUAUACUUUUUAGUAAAGCUAUAAACGAGCCAAACGGUGCUCAACUCGAAAAAAUACGAGCGAGCGAGACUCGAAUUUGUUAAUAAUAUGAUCAAAUUUGAGCAUUAAAAAUAAUUCGAAUAAAAAUAUGAGUAGAAUCUGAGCAAAGUUAUACUCGACUCAUUUAAAAUUCAAAAUACUCGAAUUAUUGAUUGUGAUUCGAUACAUAAUCGAUUGAUACAUAUUGGAUUAGAUAUUUAAUACAUUCUCUUAUAAUAUAUACAAAUUUAAAUCAAAUUAGGAUAAUUAAUUAUUAUUAUUUUGUUUUGUUUUUAAUUUUACUUGUGAUUUUAUAUUUGUAAAGUGUAAUAGUAAAUAUAUUUUCUCAUUGCAAAGUAAAAUAACAAAUUCAAUUUAUAAUUUUAUUUAUUAUAAAAUUAGUUAUUAUGUGAAGACUCGAAUUUGAGUUUGAAUUUGAAACUCGCGAGUAAUUUGUGUGACGCCCCCAAAAUAGGUAUACACAACUCAUUCUGAGUCGCCAAAUAUAUGGUACAGAAUACAAAUACAAACUUAAUUAUACAACUGUCGUGUAAUAUAAACUGAAAGUUUUAACACGCAUAUUGUCUCAUAGACAAUAUCCAAACUCAAAUAGAGUCUUCAUUACAAUUAUUAUCACACUAUUUCACAGAAUAGUGAGAACUACUAUAACAACCAUCUGGACCGUUACUCCAUUUCCCGACUAGUCCCAAUUAUAUUCUCAUUUCCUGAAAAAAACAAUGAAAGAAAAAUGUGAGCUCAACUAGCCCAAUAAAUAAUAUUACGACUAAGAUAAUGCAGAAUAAAUUAUCGUUAACCUUCAACAGUGUUAAACUGAUAGAAUAUAAUAGACAACAAGUUUAACUGCAGCAAAACAAACAAUUCAUUGAAAAUACACACCUAUUAAAAAAAUAUUAAUCUUCAAUUUACUCAUCUUAACUAUUUUAUUAUCAUCCAUUUUGUUUUAUUUAAUCUCCUAACUUUUCUUGAAACAACAAAAUAGAGAAGAAAGGAGAAAAAAAAAUAUGAUUAUGCUUCUAAUAUCAAAAUUAAUAAUGUUAUUUUUUUAAUAUAUGUCAUGUUAUUUUUAAUGUUUUUUUAAAAAUUUAAUAAGAGUAAUAUUGAAAAAAUAAGAUUAAAAAUAAAUUUAAAUAAACCAAAAAAACAAUUAAAAUAAAUAAACUUAAUCAGAGAAAGUAAUUUGUUACCCAAUAAAAUUACAUUAAAUUCUAUUUUAAAAUUAAAAAUAUAAUUUGACAUUAAAGUCAAACGAUUUUAAACUUUAAAUUAGUAUAAAUUUAUUUAAUUUUAAUUAAUAUAAUUAUUAUAACAAAAAUUAUUAAUCAUAAAUUUAUUUCAUUCACUUUUAUGUGUUAUUUUAAUUUUAUAAUUUAAUAUACAUAUCUCUAAUUUGAAAUGGGAGUUCAUACUAACAUAUAGAUUAUCAUAAAAUCAACUUCAUAAUAAAAUAAUUAAUUGACCAAUAUAAAAUAUAAUGCUCCAAUUAUUAUAAAAUUAACCUAAUAAUAAAAUAAUUAAUUUACCAAUCUAUAUAAUUCUAUAUAAUAAAAUACAAAUAAUUUUAAAUUUUCCGUUAGCCGGCUGAUAUAUAAUAUAGCGAUUACACGCAAAGGAACAACUCCCGACCUAAAUGUGCCACUGUACCCUAAUAGAUCUAGAUUUAUAUGAAACAUCCGAGACACAUUAUAGAAAAUCAGUGCACAAAACAUAGUAUAUUCAAUACAAACACAGCAAAACAUAGCAGUAAAGGUAUCAAACAGCACAAAUAGGAAAUGAAUUACUAGAACUACUAUUAAAUAAAUGGCUAUCAAAUCUAGAUCUGAAACCAAAAACCAAACCAAAUCAUAAAUCUCUAGAUACAUGUAUAUACUCUAUAAGAUCGUCAUCAUCAUCAUCAUCAUCAGUGGUCACAAACCGACUAGCUGAUAAGAAAAAACUACUCUCUUCUCUUCAGAACUUGAGUGCAGAUCCGAAGAGGAAAGCGACGAACGUGAAAGCACAACCGACGGCGAACGACGGAGAAACAGAUAUUGCCGAAGACGUAGGGCUCGGAGCCGGAGCCGGAGCAUCGGAUGCUACAGAGGUUCCGACGAGGGAGAAGACGGUGGCGAUCACCGCCAUUAGAGGAAUUAAGGUAGCUGUGGAAUGAGAGACUGCCAUUUCUCUGCUGAAAGAGUUUGAGAUCU
This 24331-nucleotide long non-coding RNA is filed under the name Panax ginseng (ginseng). RNAcentral describes it as "long non-coding RNA (PGIN_LNC009867)". The stretch from base 2879 to 2998 matches the Rfam family "MIR6135 microRNA precursor family". Lineage: Eukaryota; Viridiplantae; Streptophyta; Magnoliopsida; Apiales; Araliaceae. The record is from RNAcentral.